GAUCUUUAUUUUUUAAUAUUUAUAAAUUAAAAAGAAUUUAAAAUAAUUAAUAUAUUUUAAAAAAUUUUAUUGGGGUGAUAAUAAAAUUUAAUUAACUUUUAUAUAAAAAUUAACAUAAAUAUAUGAAUAUUUGAUCCUAUUUUAUAGAUUAAUAAUUUAAGUUACCUUAGGGAUAACAGCGUAAUUUUUUUUUAGAGUUCAUAUCGAUAAAAAAGAUUGC
RNAcentral lists this ribosomal RNA (220 nucleotides) under Orthopodomyia fascipes. RNAcentral's name for it is "partial 16S ribosomal RNA". The record is from RNAcentral. Lineage: Eukaryota; Metazoa; Arthropoda; Insecta; Diptera; Culicidae.